GACGUAGGUGGCGAACGUUAUCCGGAAUUAUUGGGCGUAAAGGAUGCGUAGCUGGUGUAGUAAGUUAUCGGUGGCAAAUCGAGGCUCAACCUCGUGGAAGUCGGUAAUACUGCUAUGCUAGAGGAUAGGAGAGGUUAACGGAACUCCCUGUGGAGCGGUGAAAUGCGUAGAUAUAGGGAAGAACACCAAUAAGGCGAAGGCAGUUAACUAUUCUACUCCUGACAUUGAGGCAUGAAAGCGUGGGGAGCAAAACGG
RNAcentral lists this ribosomal RNA (255 nucleotides) under uncultured bacterium. RNAcentral's name for it is "partial 16S ribosomal RNA". It matches the Rfam family "Bacterial small subunit ribosomal RNA", at positions 524 to 776 of the family's 1533-position model. The record is from RNAcentral.